This 770-nucleotide ribosomal RNA is filed under the name uncultured bacterium. RNAcentral's name for it is "bacterial SSU rRNA". It matches the Rfam family "Bacterial small subunit ribosomal RNA", at positions 8 to 785 of the family's 1533-position model. The record is from RNAcentral.
AGGGUUUGAUCCUGGCUCAGGACGAACGUUGGCGGUGCGCUUAAUGCAUGCAAGUCGAGGGAGAACCUUUCGAUCCGUAAGGACCGAAUGGGGAAACCGGCGAACGGGUGCGUAACACGUGAGGAACCUGCCCCGAAGACCGGGAUAGCCCGAGGAAACUCGGAUUAAUACCGGAUACCCUCUUCGGACCACAUGGUCUGUUGAGGAAAUGGUCCGCCGCUUCGGGAUGGCCUCGCGGCCUAUCAGCUUGUUGGUGAGGUAAUGGCUCACCAAGGCAAAGACGGGUAGCUGGUCUGAGAGGACGAUCAGCCACACUGGGACUGAGACACGGCCCAGACUCCUACGGGAGGCAGCAGCAGGGAAUAUUGCACAAUGGGCGAAAGCCUGAUGCAGCGACACCGCGUGCGGGAUGAAGGCCCUCGGGUUGUAAACCGCUUUCAGGAGGGACGAAAAUGACGGUACCUCCAGAAGAAGGCCCGGCCAACUACGUGCCAGCAGCCGCGGUAAUACGUAGGGGCCAAACGUUGUCCGGAUUUAUUGGGCGUAAAGGGCUCGUAGGCGGUUCAACAAGUCGAUCGUGAAAGCCCGGGGCUCAACCCCGGGACGCCGGUCGAAACUGUUGUGACUAGGGUCCGGUAGAGGUGAGUGGAAUUCUCGGUGUAGCGGUGGAAUGCGCAGAUAUCGAGAGGAACACCAGUUGCGAAGGCGGCUCACUGGGCCGGUACCGACGCUAAGGAGCGAAAGCGUGGGGAGCAAACAGGAUUAGAUAC